GUAGGUGGCAAGCGUUGUCCGGAAUUAUUGGGGCGUAAAGCGCGCGCAGGCGGUUCUUUAAGCCUGAUGUGAAAGCCCACGGGCUCAACCGUGGAGGUCAUUGGAAACUGGAGAACUUGAGUACAGAAGAGGAAAGCGGAAUUCCACGUGUAGCGGUGAAAUGCGUAGAGAUGUGGAGGAACACCAGUGGCGAAGGCGGCUUUCUGGUCUGUAACUGACGCUGAGGCGCGAAAGCGUGGGGAGCAAACAGGAUUAGAUACCCUGGUAGUCCACGCCGUAAACGAUGAGUGCUAAGUGUUAGGGGGUUUCCGCCCCUUAGUGCUGCAGCUAACGCAUUAAGCACUCCGCCUGGGGAGUACGGCCGCAAAGGCUG
This 373-nucleotide ribosomal RNA is filed under the name uncultured organism. RNAcentral's name for it is "partial 16S ribosomal RNA". It matches the Rfam family "Bacterial small subunit ribosomal RNA", at positions 527 to 896 of the family's 1533-position model. The record is from RNAcentral.